Seriola dumerili (greater amberjack) is the source of this 139-nucleotide small nucleolar RNA. The record is from Ensembl. Lineage: Eukaryota; Metazoa; Chordata; Actinopteri; Carangiformes; Carangidae.
GGCCACAUUGCAGACUCGUCAGUGGGAUCGUCCUGUGCAGCGGACUGAUCCAGGACUGCAGUGGCUAUAGAAAGUCAGGUUUUGCUUUCACCUCUGCACUGUUGGUUGCUGAAUGGUGACAAUGAGGCCUGACACACUC